AACUUAUCAAGAGAGGUGGAGGGAACAGGCCCAUUGAAGCCCGGCAACCAAUACGUUGUAUAAUGGUGCCAAAUCCUGCAGCGAAGGCUGAAAGAUGAGAG
This 101-nucleotide non-coding RNA is filed under the name Clostridium kluyveri. RNAcentral's name for it is "SAM-I sequence". It matches the Rfam family "SAM riboswitch aptamer (S box leader)". From Rfam's summary of the family: The SAM riboswitch is found upstream of a number of genes which code for proteins involved in methionine or cysteine biosynthesis in Gram-positive bacteria. The SAM riboswitch acts at the level of transcription termination control. Lineage: Bacteria; Bacillati; Bacillota; Clostridia; Eubacteriales; Clostridiaceae. The record is from RNAcentral. RNAcentral also lists the same sequence under 1 other name.